AACAGAGGACCUCUGAAGAAAUCUACAACAGGAGGCCAGGGAACUGCAGCUUCCUCAAAUCAGGAGUUGAACUAUGCAGAUGUCAGGUUUUUCCCAAAGAGAAAUGAUGGGAGAGUUCAGAUGGGGGUACAGAGUGAAUCCUCAAAUUAUGCUCAGGUUCAAGCGAACAGCAGGGCUCCUGCAGCAUCCUCCCUCCCUACAUAUGAUGCUCACAUGCACCACGUGAAGAGGCCCGCCCCUCAGCCUGAUCCUAAUGCUGCAGAAACCUAUGCUCAGGUUCGCGUACGCUGAGUGUAAUGGAUCUGAUAGAUUCAUAUCCAAGCCGGCCAGAAGCAGUCAAUCUCACUCCAUUUAUUGUGGGCUAGCUUGGACUUGAACUCGUGAGUCAAAGCACUUUAAAAGUAGUCAAUAAUCAACCAGCUCUGAAGUUUAUUGCCAUGGUAACAAUGUUUCCUUAUUACUUUGAGUAAACUGCAUAUCAUAGUGUUCCUGUUCUUAUGUUCAGCAUUUUCUUUGUACAGUGCAAAGUGCAGUUAUCUGAGCAGUGAUAUUCUUUUUAUUUGAUUCAGAUAUUUAUCUGUCACUUUUGUCAUAAUAUAUUAUCAUGUGAUUUCAUACAAGAUUUGUGGCCAAUAGUGAAGUAGUAAUUUUUUAAAAGCAACACUCCUGGAUGCUACUUGAUGAUCAGUGUGACAAUUCAUUACUUCAUUAUCUUAGUGAACUGUAAAGGUGCAGCAAUUUAAAGAUUUAAAUGAAAUCUGCUUUAUCGUCCCUGCAAACGAAAGGUCAGCAGUGACAAUAACUAAUAAUGCUUCUGUUUAAAAUCAUUUGAAUGACUCCAGACUUUCAAACAUUUUCUGGUGCUAUUGGGCAGGUUUGGGGAAAUCAUCCAUUGCACACUAGACAAUAAUGUGGAUAACAUUUCAGAAUAAUACUACAUCUUUUUUUUUUUUUUUACUUA
This is a long non-coding RNA of Haplochromis burtoni (Burton's mouthbrooder), 961 nucleotides long. RefSeq lists it as uncharacterized. The record is from RefSeq and is a predicted model, not a curated record. The transcript has 3 exons. Lineage: Eukaryota; Metazoa; Chordata; Actinopteri; Cichliformes; Cichlidae.